GGUCGGUUAGCUCAGUUGGUUAGAGCGUGGUGCUAAUAUCCGGUGGAUAUCCACCCAUGAUAAUGGCACGCCAAGGUCGCGGGUUCGACCCCCGUACUGACCA
Aureobasidium pullulans is the source of this 103-nucleotide transfer RNA. It matches the Rfam family "tRNA". Rfam says of the family: Transfer RNA (tRNA) molecules are approximately 80 nucleotides in length. Their secondary structure includes four short double-helical elements and three loops (D, anti-codon, and T loops). NCBI's taxonomy places the organism in Eukaryota, Fungi, Ascomycota, Dothideomycetes, Dothideales, Saccotheciaceae. The record is from Rfam.